GCUGGAUUAGCUCAGUUGGUAGAGCAACUGAUUUGUAAUCAGAAGGUCGCGGGUUCGAACCCUGCAUCCAGCA
This 73-nucleotide transfer RNA is filed under the name Cronobacter phage CR9. It matches the Rfam family "tRNA". From Rfam's summary of the family: Transfer RNA (tRNA) molecules are approximately 80 nucleotides in length. Their secondary structure includes four short double-helical elements and three loops (D, anti-codon, and T loops). Lineage: Duplodnaviria; Heunggongvirae; Uroviricota; Caudoviricetes. The record is from Rfam by way of RNAcentral.